AUAUGUUGAUUUGAUUUCUUCCAAACAGAUAUAGAGAUACCCUCUUUGAACUCCUAAUUAAUUAGCCAUUUUUAGAAAACUUUCAUGUUAAUUAAGUAGCGUUGCAUUCCCAGUCCCCAGACAUAAUAUUAAUCAUCCUGUGUGUGUGAGAGAGAGAUAUAAAAGGUCAAUAGUAUAAGAGAAAAGGAAGCAAUAUUAUGUAGUCCAAUAUUUUCACUAGUAGAAAUAUCAAACAUCGGCUCUCAUAUGCUAAUAAUUAAUCACAUAUCAUAAAAACUAGAAGAGAGGACGCAAGCAUGCAGCUAUGUGCUGCUAAUUUUGCCAUAUCUAUAUGCAAAAGAUCUAGACCUAUAAUACUCCACCUCUUCCUGCUGCCACCUCCCAUCAUCAAAGUUCUUUGAGUAGCUAUUCAUGUCAUAAUUCAGCAGCUCAUGUCUGCAGCCAUUCACACUUGUAUUCUGCAAAAUCCUGCAAACCUUUCUCUUCACCUGAAGGGAAGCCAAGAUCGCCCUCCGAGACAACCCCAAAACUCGUUUUCGCUUUCUUCUCAGAAAUCUGCUACCCACCCUCUUCACAGAUCUCCAUGCCCUCACUGACACAUUUGCAUUUUCAGCCUUAAUCUUUAAGACAGAGACCAUCUCCAUAUUCUUCUCUUCCUGGAUGUUAUCGAAGGACAACAAGCUACAAGUAGAAUAGCUUGCUGACAUCUCUUUCUGUUUCUCUUCCUUUCUUGCUGUAUUCCAUGUGUGCCCUUAUACAAUUCAAUAGACAUUUGAUUUCUAUGCUUCAGAUCCCACGGCAACAAACAUUUAAGUUUAUUUUCUCAAGGACAUGGUACAUUGUAUUUAAUUUGGUUGCAGCGCAAGAAUUGCGGUUUCAAUAUUACUAGAAGGCAUGGAAUUGUUCGUUAGGGCAUUUUUUGGUAUCUUUGGACCUUACAACUAGCCACCAUCCAUGGAGAAUCCAAUGUUGGGGAACUUCAAUUAAUAAUAAAUUAUAUAGCUAUGAGUCAAGAAGACUAGCAAUUGCCCUUCAGACCCCUUCAACCUAUGGCAGUCUGAAGGGCAUUGUUGUAAUCUGUGUAUUAUGUUCUUGAACACAGAGUUGGUUACAUUCUUGGAUGCCCUUAAUUCUUGAAGCAUUUUCAUAGACGGACCCACACAACUACCUUCGUUACUCAUUUAUUAUCAUGUCUCUAAAGCCAUAUAAAAAUGGGGGGAAGGAAAGCUAUUCCUCCAACUUGUAAGAGUAGAAGUUUGAUUCUCAGGUCUGGACCACCAAAAUAUUGAAUUAGGUAGUCAAAUACAGUGCCCUCAUUGAAUCUGUGCAGAACUUCUUGGGCCCAAAUGCUGUAUGAUAUGAUUAAUGUACUGUCUCGUUUACAUGAUUGAAGGUUGCAACAUUUAUCGAGUAUGAAAAAAGCAGACAUAAUUUUUGGGUGUGCUGGACACAGAAACGGUAUGGUAGUUGAAGGGAAAGUCUUCAUCAAACUAAAUUAUCCAAAAGUGAAAAUGUUAGUCUAAAUUAGGAUUUUUUACAUAUUUCAUAAGCUGUGUUGUGAGAAAGAGUUGUAAGUACUAGAAGAUUACAUUUGCUAACAUUAAUAGUUGAGAGAACAUUAAAGAAUCACUGAAAAAUAUACUCUCUUCAACAUUAACCUAUGAAAAGACCAGUAGUUCAAAACACAUAAUGAAAAUGUUCACGCAUUAGUGAUGUAGGAUCAGAAAAAGUAUCAUUUACCCUCAGCAGCCAUCUGUGUUGCGUAUCUCAUGAGCUGUGUUGAAAAUGCCA
This 1791-nucleotide unclassified non-coding RNA is filed under the name Hevea brasiliensis (rubber tree). The record is from RNAcentral. Lineage: Eukaryota; Viridiplantae; Streptophyta; Magnoliopsida; Malpighiales; Euphorbiaceae.